UGUUCGGUUAGCCCAUUCCCGGCCGGAAAUAGUGACUAAACCCUGUGGAUCCCUCCCAUCUGGAAACAAGUCCUGUCUACAGGAAAAGGAGCCUUCGAUUAAACCCGACGUGGGUUGUAUCCCGCUCGUUCCUCGUCGUUCCAGGCCGGUAACCACGCCCUGUCCUUCCGGGGUGGAAAAUAUCCCAGCCUGAAAACCACACCGGAAGGGCACGCGACGGCGGUGGCACGGAUACGAAAUUCUUCAAUCCGGCGUCGAUCUGCUCCGGCGACCGCCUUCUCACUGGUAUGCUUCUUCCUCCCUGCUUCUGGUGCCCGGCGGAGACAUUCCGUCCGCGCGUCGAGUUGUGGAGUCUAAUUUCAGGCUCAGCCACAUGACCACAUGUGUUUUUCCCCGGCGACAAGGACGUCGCAGAAGUCAACGCGGUCUUCUUGAUGUCCCGUGCCUCCGCCUCUCGUCCCUGCUUCUGGUGCCGAAGCACUCUCCGCUACGUGGCCGACUGGCUGAUCUGCUCCCGGUUCAGUUUCGUGUGGAUGUCUGGUUUUGCUUGCUUGCUUGCGCUCUCCUCCUUUGUAACCAGGUGUGAUACAGAUACAACCAUGUGGUGCAAGGUCGUGGCGGCUGGGUGACGCCGCCAUGCUGCAACCAGGUGUUCCCCCUAGCUCCCUCGUCGUCACUGCCACAACGAGGCUACGUGAAGCUAGUCUCAUUUUUUUACGACAGAGAAAGGGCAGUAGUACCAACGCCUGGAUUGUUAUUAAGCUGCUUGCUGAUCAUGUAUAUGUGUCCACUCAAUUCAACCAGGGCUGGCGGCAAGGAAAUCUUUGUCCACUCUGUCAAGUGUGGUACGCUUUGCUUAAGCCAAUUUGAUUAUUUUUUUGAGUUGGGUGGUCAUUCAAUGUUGCCCAAUAUGCAACGCAGCAGUGGUCAUUUCGAAUUGAAUGUUCUUACAUUCUACUCUCUGAGUGGAAAGAAUGCAACUCCAAGUUCAGUCACCUUUUUUGUCUCUAAUGAAAUUCUUUCAGGGACCUUUACAACUAAUUUUAACAACUAAUUUAUCAAAAUAAAUGAGUAAUACAUUUAGCUUCUGUUCUUGAUGUGUGAGUCUAGUUUGAGAGUUUAAACUGAAUCUUAGAAUGCUAUAGAGAUUCAAAAAAAAUUAUUAUUUCUUUAUUUCAAAUAUGUCUGAAACAUACAAUACUGUUGUUUUUCGAAACCAGUUGGAGGAUCAGUAGUGCAGUCCAGUCCUUCCCAGGCAAAAGCUUAUGCGUUCAGCAUGCUUUCAGUUUUCUAGCAGUAGUUUUCUUUCAGUCUUUCAGUUUUUAUAUUUGUAUUUUUUCCCUGUCAAAUCAUUUCUUCGCUAUAAUUGCAACUGUACAAUAUAUUGUGAUACCUUGUAUUUUACUUGAUCAAUUGACAAAUAUGCUUCACUAUGUAUACAGAUGAAAUUUUAGAUUUUACGUGAUAUAUCAAUAUGAAAUUGAUGGGCCUAAGAAAUUCAGAGAAUUCAGAGAAGUAUUGAAUUGUUGCCGGACUUGCUUCUUUUGUUUUCUUGUUGAAUUCUGUUGUAUAUGGCAGGGAUCAACCGAAUGAAUAUUUUGAGGCAGGGAUUAAA
This is a long non-coding RNA of Zea mays, 1615 nucleotides long. RefSeq lists it as uncharacterized. The record is from RefSeq and is a predicted model, not a curated record. The transcript has 2 exons. NCBI's taxonomy places the organism in Eukaryota, Viridiplantae, Streptophyta, Magnoliopsida, Poales, Poaceae.